This 509-nucleotide ribosomal RNA is filed under the name uncultured bacterium. RNAcentral's name for it is "partial 16S ribosomal RNA". It matches the Rfam family "Bacterial small subunit ribosomal RNA", at positions 31 to 507 of the family's 1533-position model. The record is from RNAcentral.
GAACGCUGGCGGCGUGCCUAAUACAUGCAAGUCGAACGAAACUUCUUUAUCACCGAGUGCUUGCACUCACCGAUAAAGAGUUGAGUGGCGAACGGGUGAGUAACACGUGGGCAACCUGCCCAAAAGAGGGGGAUAACACUUGGAAACAGGUGCUAAUACCGCAUAACCAUAGUUACCGCAUGGUAACUAUGUAAAAGGUGGCUAUACUACCGCUUUUGGAUGGGCCCGCGGCGCAUUAGCUAGUUGGUAGGGUAAAGGCUUACCAAGGCAAUGAUGCGUAGCCGAAUUGAGAGGUUGAUCGGCCACAUUGGGACUGAGACACGGCCCAAACUCCUACGGGAGGCAGCAGUAGGGAAUCUUCCACAAUGGGCGAAAGCCUGAUGGAGCAACGCCGCGUGGGUGAAGAAGGUCUUCGGAUCGUAAAACCCUGUUGUUAGAGAAGAAAGUGCGUGAGAGUAACUGUUCACGUUUCGACGGUAUCUAACCGGAAAGCCACGGCUAACUACGUG